RNAcentral lists this ribosomal RNA (449 nucleotides) under uncultured bacterium. RNAcentral's name for it is "partial 16S ribosomal RNA". It matches the Rfam family "Bacterial small subunit ribosomal RNA", at positions 29 to 523 of the family's 1533-position model. The record is from RNAcentral.
AACGAACGCUGGCGGCAUGCCUAACACAUGCAAGUCGAACGAGAUCUUCGGGUCUAGUGGCGCACGGGUGCGUAACGCGUGGGAAUCUGCCCUUUGGCUCGGAAUAACAGUUGGAAACGACUGCUAAUACCGGAUGAUGACGAAAGUCCAAAGAUUUAUCGCCAGAGGAUGAGCCCGCGUAGGAUUAGCUAGUUGGUGUGGUAAAGGCGCACCAAGGCGACGAUCCUUAGCUGGUCUGAGAGGAUGAUCAGCCACACUGGGACUGAGACACGGCCAGGCCUCCAACGGGGGGAAGCGGGGGGAAAUUUUGGACAAUGGGCAAAGGCCUAACCCAGAAAUCCCGCGUGAGUGAUGAAGGCUUUGGGGUUGUAAAGCUCUUUUCCCCGGGAUGAUAAUGACAGUACCGGGAAAAUAAGCCCCGGCUAACUCCGUGCCAGCAGCCGCCGUAA